RNAcentral lists this ribosomal RNA (253 nucleotides) under uncultured bacterium. RNAcentral describes it as "partial 16S ribosomal RNA". It matches the Rfam family "Bacterial small subunit ribosomal RNA", at positions 524 to 776 of the family's 1533-position model. The record is from RNAcentral.
UACGUAGGGCGCAAGCGUUGUCCGGAAUUAUUGGGCGUAAAGCGCACGUAGGCGGCUUGGCAAGUCGGAUGUGAAAUCCCUCGGCUCAACCAAGGAAGUGCAUCCGAAACUGCUGAGCUUGAGUACUUAAGAGGAUCGCGGAAUUCCCGGUGUAGAGGUGAAAUUCGUAGAUAUCGGGAGGAACACCAGUGGCGAAGGCGGCUAUCUGGACGGUUUCUGACGCUAAGACGCGAAAGCGUGGGGAGCAAACAGG